Molecule: long non-coding RNA, 714 nt
Organism: Manis javanica (Malayan pangolin)
Lineage: Eukaryota; Metazoa; Chordata; Mammalia; Pholidota; Manidae
Source: RefSeq, a predicted model, not a curated record
GCUGCUUGUCACAUAUAUGACAGUAUUUAUUUUUAUCUGGGGGGCAAAAAAGGAAAAUUCUAGGUUAUUUUUCUUAAAAAAAAGUUAUGCUAUACUAUGUCUAUUUUGAUUCAUUUUGCAGGUCCAGGGGGAAGGAAAAUACCUUAAAUGUUGCAUUUAAAGGCUUGGUGGAGCCGUGCAGACCGUGCGGGGUCUUGUGGUGGGUCCUGAACGCAUGGAUUCUGUGGGAAUCUCACACGAAUUAAGGCACAUUUGAUCCUAAGGAGACUGCACUGGAUAAUCUCAGACAUAAUCUCCUUUCCUCGCCCUGGACAGGAGUCGCUCAUGGAAAUAAAACUGCUGGGCGGAUAGUAGGAAAUGAAAGGAAAUAACCACACCACAUACUUGCAAGAUACGAUCCCCUUCUCGAAUUCGACCGUCUCGGGCGGCAAUGCUGUUUGGAUCUAUCUGCGAGGGAGAAGACGCCCAUCUUCAGCGGGAUGUGCAAUACUCCCCCAGGAGCUUACAAAUACGGCUUUAAAUAUAUUGUCAAAAACUUGGUUCAAAGUUCUCUAUUGAUUUACAGAGCACAUGUUCAUUUUUCUCUGUCAAAAAUCACUGAUUCUGAAAAUGUAAAUGGACUGUGUUGGAAUGAAUAAUAAUGAAAUUGAAAACUAGAACAGAAUUGGGAGACCAUUUUCUUUCACUCCCUCCUUCCCUUUUUUCCUUUCAUCC